GAGUUUGAUCCUGGCUCAGAAUCAACGCUGGCGGCGUGCCUCAGACAUGCAAGUCGAACGAUUAAAGCUCUCUUCGGAGAGUGCAUAGAGUGGCGCACGGGUGAGUAACACGUAAGUAAUCUACCUUCGAGUGGGGAAUAACGUCCGGAAACGGACGCUAAUACCGCAUAAUGCAGCGGCAUCGCAAGAUGACAGUUGUUAAAGGAGCAAUUCGCUUGAAGAGGAGCUUGCGGCAGAUUAGCUAGUUGGUAAGGUAAUGGCUUACCAAGGCUACGAUCUGUAACCGGUCUAAGAGGACGGUCGGUCACACUGACACUGAAUAACGGGUCAGACUCCUACGGGAGGCAGCAGUCGGGAAUUUUGGGCAAUGGGCGAAAGCCUGACCCAGCAACGCCGCGUGAAGGAUGAAGUAUUUCGGUAUGUAAACUUCGAAAGAAUGGGAAGAAUCAAUGACGGUACCAUUUAUAAGGUCCGGCUAACUACGUGCCAGCAGCCGCGGUAAUACGUAGGGACCAAGCGUUGUUCGGAUUUACUGGGCGUAAAGGGCGCGUAGGCGGCUUAACAAGUCACUUGUGAAAUCUCCGGGCUUAACUCGGAACUGCCAAGUGAAACUGUCAAGCUAGAGUGCAGAAGGGGCAAUCGGAAUUCUUGGUGUAGCGGUGAAAUGCGUAGAUAUCAAGAGGAACACCUGAGGUGAAGACGGGUUGCUGGGCUGACACUGACGCUGAGGCGCGAAAGCCAGGGGAGCAAACGGGAUUAGAUACCCCGGUAGUCCUGGCCCUAAACGAUGAAUACUUGGUGUCUGGAGUAAUAUGUGCUCCGGGUGCCGUCGCUAACGUUUUUAGUAUUCCGCCUGGGGAGUACGCUCGCAAGAGUGAACUCAAAGGAAUNGACGGGGACCCCACAACGGUGGACAUGUGGUUAAUNCGACGCACNCGAAAACCUUACUAGGCUANAUGUGAGGNANUCUGCGUACACCAGGCUCUGGAACCANACCAAACAGNGCUGCUGNUUUCCCNCCUCUUGUCCUGAAUNUGGUUAAUCCCCACAGNNCACCUUUCACGUGCCUCNUAAUUGNACUUNUNAACCCCUUANAACGAGANGGGGANAUUCAGCUUG
RNAcentral lists this ribosomal RNA (1119 nucleotides) under uncultured bacterium. RNAcentral describes it as "bacterial SSU rRNA". It matches the Rfam family "Bacterial small subunit ribosomal RNA", at positions 9 to 1197 of the family's 1533-position model. The record is from RNAcentral.